UACGGAGGGUGCGAGCGUUGUCCGGAAUCACUGGGCGUAAAGGGCGCGUAGGCGGCCUGGUAAGUAGGAGGUGAAAUCCUGCGGCUUAACCGCAGGGCUGCCUUCUAAACUGUCAGGCUCGAGCACAGUAGAGGCAGGUGGAAUUCCCGGUGUAGCGGUGGAAUGCGUAGAGAUCGGGAAGAACAUCAGUGGCGAAGGCGGCCUGCUGGGCUGUUGCUGACGCUGAGGCGCGACAGCGUGGGGAGCAAACAGG
This 253-nucleotide ribosomal RNA is filed under the name uncultured bacterium. Its description in RNAcentral is "partial 16S ribosomal RNA". It matches the Rfam family "Bacterial small subunit ribosomal RNA", at positions 524 to 776 of the family's 1533-position model. The record is from RNAcentral.